This 253-nucleotide ribosomal RNA is filed under the name uncultured bacterium. RNAcentral's name for it is "partial 16S ribosomal RNA". It matches the Rfam family "Bacterial small subunit ribosomal RNA", at positions 524 to 776 of the family's 1533-position model. The record is from RNAcentral.
UACAGGGGGUGCAAGCGUUGCUCGGAAUUACUGGGCGUAAAGCGAGCGCAGGCGGCCGAUUAAGUCAGAGGUGAAAGCCCGGGGCUCAACCCCGGAAAUGCCUUUGAAACUGGUAGGCUUGAAUGCAGGAGAGGGUCGCGGAAUUCUUGGUGUAGAGGUGAAAUUCGUAGAUAUCAGGAAGAACACCAGUGGCGAAAGCGGCGCCCUGGCCUGACAUUGACGCUCAUGCUCGAGAGCGUGGGGAGCAAACAGG